This 253-nucleotide ribosomal RNA is filed under the name uncultured bacterium. RNAcentral describes it as "partial 16S ribosomal RNA". It matches the Rfam family "Bacterial small subunit ribosomal RNA", at positions 524 to 776 of the family's 1533-position model. The record is from RNAcentral.
UACGUAGGGUGCAAGCGUUGUCCGGAAUUAUUGGGCGUAAAGAGCUCGUAGGCGGCCUGUUAAGUCGAACGUGAAAUCCCCGGGCUCAACCCGGGAACUGCGUCCGAUACUGGCAGGCUUGAAUCCGGGAGAGGGAUGUGGAAUUCCAGGCGUAGCGGUGAAAUGCGUAGAUAUCUGGAGGAACACCGGUGGCGAGGGCGGCAUCCUGGACCGGUAUUGACGCUGAGGCGCGAAAGCCAGGGGAGCAAACGGG